This is a non-coding RNA of Microcebus murinus (gray mouse lemur), 494 nucleotides long. NCBI's taxonomy places the organism in Eukaryota, Metazoa, Chordata, Mammalia, Primates, Cheirogaleidae. The record is from RefSeq and is a predicted model, not a curated record.
CCGCAGGAAUCCGGGACGCGGGGUCGGGGGCGCCAGAGACUGACCGGCGCCCUGCGGGGCGUCCCGUUUACCAGGAUGCAGUCAGAAAUUCCAUGGAGAGCUGCAUCAGCUUUUAACAUAAAACUGAUGGGGUCCACGAAAUUCUAUGCCUCAGAAGGCUUCUCCAGGGGUAACCAGGCCGCGCUCCUCUGCCUUUGGGGUUAUUUCGGUGCAUACUCACUUUGGGAAGAGCCUUGUUUCCCGGAAGCCUAUCGGAGAAGGAUGCUCUGGCGCCCUCUGGUGGCGCAUCCCGGAACAGGGAUCCCUUCCUGACUUCUGCUGCUGCCUGCCCUUGGACCUAUUUUCAGAUGGAACAGUAAGCUGUCAGGUCCUGAGUAUCCCAGGACCCCCGAUUAACAAGCAUGCCCACCCUGUGUUUGUGAAGGGGAAAGAGUGAACACCAAGGCCCUGGGCUGGGCUGCAGAAUCCUCUCCGCUAAGACCUGCUGGCAGAUG